GCGUUAAUCGGAAUUACUGGGCGUAAAGGGUGCGUAGGUGGUUAAUUAAGUUAUCUGUGAAAUUCCUGGGCUUAACCUGGGCAGGUCAGAUAAUACUGAUUGACUAAGAGUAUGGGAGAGGGUAGUGGAAUUUCCGGUGUAGCGGUGAAAUGCGUAGAGAUCGGAAGGAACACCAGUGGCGAAGGCGGCUACCUGGCCUAAUACUGACACUGAGGCACGAAAGCGUGGGGAGCAAACAGG
This 240-nucleotide ribosomal RNA is filed under the name uncultured bacterium. RNAcentral describes it as "partial 16S ribosomal RNA". It matches the Rfam family "Bacterial small subunit ribosomal RNA", at positions 538 to 776 of the family's 1533-position model. The record is from RNAcentral.